RNAcentral lists this microRNA (23 nucleotides) under Limulus polyphemus (Atlantic horseshoe crab). Its description in RNAcentral is "Lpo-Novel-4_3p (mature (guide))". Lineage: Eukaryota; Metazoa; Arthropoda; Merostomata; Xiphosura; Limulidae. The record is from RNAcentral.
GUUGACACUGUGGUUGCAUGACU